Molecule: long non-coding RNA, 298 nt
Organism: Lutra lutra (Eurasian river otter)
Lineage: Eukaryota; Metazoa; Chordata; Mammalia; Carnivora; Mustelidae
Exons: 2
Source: RefSeq, a predicted model, not a curated record
ACGGAAUUCUGGGAGUGACAAUGAAGAGAUACUUAAGUAAGCAUUAGCUCUCCUGGAUGACUCUUGCAAGCUGAGAAUAGCCCAGCACUACACCCAUGAUCAUUGUUCAGCCGCUGUUUCCUCUUCCUUUUCUCUUGUUUUAUUAAGGAAAGUGUCAAACAUGCAUAACAGCAGGGAGAAAAGAACAGUGAAGCCCCAUGUACCCAUCACUCAGCUUCAGCAAAUGGUGGCUUGUUUCAGACCCUAUAUUCAGUAGACACUUUCCAAAAAGUAAAAAAAAAAGAAAGAAAGAAAGAAA